GCCUCCUUAGCUCAGCGGAAGAGCGACGGCCUUCUAAGCCGUUGGUCGCAGGUUCGAUCCCUGCAGGGGCA
Molecule: transfer RNA, 71 nt
Filed under: Microbacterium sp. NIBRBAC000506063
Lineage: Bacteria; Bacillati; Actinomycetota; Actinomycetes; Micrococcales; Microbacteriaceae
Description: tRNA-Arg
Rfam family: tRNA
About the family: Transfer RNA (tRNA) molecules are approximately 80 nucleotides in length.
Source: RNAcentral